CUUGGUCAUUUAGAGGAAGUAAAAGUCGUAACAAGGUUUCCGUAGGUGAACCUGCGGAAGGAUCAUUAGUUGACAGGCCGUUCGCGCGGUAUCUGAAACCCUCCUUACAGCGGCCGGAGUUCGGCGCAAGGGUGAAGCCCUCUUUGGGGGUAGAGCCCGCCGGAAUCUUGCAAACCAUGCCUCGAAAUUGCGGUCUGAGUAAAUGAUAAAUUAGCGAAAACUUUCAACAACGGAUCUCUUGGUUCUGGCAACGAUGAAGAACGCAGCGAAAUGCGAUAAGUAAUGUGAAUUGCAGAAUUCAGUGAAUCAUCGAAUCUUUGAACGCACAUUGCGCCCCUUGGUAUUCCGGGGGGCACGCCUGUUCGAGCGCCAUUUCAACCCUCGAGCCCUGCUCGGUGAUGGGCCCCGUCCUUGCAGACGGGCCCGAAACCCGUGGGCGCCGACGUCCGGUCCUGAGCGUAGCAAGAGAAAUCCCUCGCUCGGGCACCGUCCGCCGGCCGCCUCGACCCAAACUCACAAGGUUGGCCUCGGAUCAGGCGGGAAUACCCGCUGAACUUAAGCAUAUCAAUAAGCGGAGGA
This 579-nucleotide ribosomal RNA is filed under the name uncultured Venturia. Its description in RNAcentral is "eukaryotic LSU rRNA". The stretch from base 219 to 372 matches the Rfam family "5.8S ribosomal RNA". Lineage: Eukaryota; Fungi; Ascomycota; Dothideomycetes; Venturiales; Venturiaceae. The record is from RNAcentral.